UCUUAGCGGCGAACGGGUGAGGAAUGCCUGGGAAUCUGCCUGGUAGUGGGGGAUAACGAUUCGAAAGGAUCGCUAAUACCGCAUACGUCCUACGGGAGAAAGUGGGGGAUCUUCGGACCUCACGCUAUCAGAUGAGCCCAGGCCGGAUUAGCUAGUAGGUGAGGUAAAGGCUCACCUAGGCGACGAUCCGUAGCUGGUCUGAGAGGAUGAUCAGCCACACUGGAACUGAGACACGGUCCAGACUCCUACGGGAGGCAGCAGUGGGGAAUAUUGGACAAUGGGCGAAAGCCUGAUCCAGCCAUGCCGCGUGUGUGAAGAAGGCCUUCGGGUUGUAAAGCACUUUAAGCGGGGAGGAAGGCCUCAAGAAUAAUACUCUUGAGGAUUGACGUUACCCGCAGAAUAAGCACCGGCUAACUCUGUGCCAGCAGCCGCGGUAAUACAGAGGGUGCAAGCGUUAAUCGGAAUUACUGGGCGUAAAGCGCGCGUAGGCGGUUUGUUAAGUCGGAUGUGAAAUCCCCGGGCUCAACCUGGGCACGGCAUCCGAUACUGGCUGACUAGAGUGUGGGAGAGGAAGGUAGAAUUCCAGGUGUAGCGGUGAAAUGCGUAGAGAUCUGGAGGAAUACCGAUGGCGAAGGCAGCCUUCUGGCCUAACACUGACGCUGAGGUGCGAAAGCAUGGGGAGCAAACAGGAUUAGAUACCCUGGUAGUCCAUGCCGUAAACGAUGUCAACUAGCCGUUGGGGACCUUGAGUCUUUAGUGGCGCAGCUAACGCGAUAAGUUGACCGCCUGGGGAGUACGGCCGCAAGGUUAAAACUCAAAUGAAUUGACGGGGGCCCGCACAAGCGGUGGAGUAUGUGGUUUAAUUCGAUGCAACGCGAAGAACCUUACCUGGCCUUGACAUAUCCGGAAUCCUGCAGAGAUGCGGGAGUGCCUUCGGGAAUCGGAAUACAGGUGCUGCAUGGCUGUCGUCAGCUCGUGUCGUGAGAUGUUGGGUUAAGUCCCGCAACGAGCGCAACCCUUGUCCUUAGUUGCCAGCACGUAAUGGUGGGAACUCUAAGGAGACUGCCGGUGACAAACCGGAGGAAGGCGGGGACGACGUCAAGUCAUCAUGGCCCUUACGGCCAGGGCUACACACGUACUACAAUGGUCGGUACAAAGGGUUGCUAAGCCGCGAGGCCACGCUAAUCUCAAAAAACCGAUCGUAGUCCAGAUUGGAGUCUGCAACUCGACUCCAUGAAGUCGGAAUCGCUAGUAAUCGCGGAUCAGAAUGCCGCGGUGAAUACGUUCCCGGGCCUUGUACACACCGCCCGUCACACCAUGGGAGUCUAUUGCACCAGAAGUAGCUAGC
RNAcentral lists this ribosomal RNA (1348 nucleotides) under Perlucidibaca piscinae. RNAcentral describes it as "bacterial SSU rRNA". It matches the Rfam family "Bacterial small subunit ribosomal RNA", at positions 90 to 1434 of the family's 1533-position model. The record is from RNAcentral. Lineage: Bacteria; Pseudomonadati; Pseudomonadota; Gammaproteobacteria; Pseudomonadales; Perlucidibacaceae.